AGAGCGAACGCUGGCGGCAGGCCUAACACAUGCAAGUCGAACGGACCCUUCGGGGUUAGUGGCGGACGGGUGAGUAACACGUGGGAACGUGCCUUUAGGUUCGGAAUAGCUCCUGGAAACGGGUGGUAAUGCCGAAUGUGCCCUUCGGGGGAAAGAUUUAUCGCCUUUAGAGCGGCCCGCGUCUGAUUAGCUUGUUGGUGAGGUAAUGGCUCACCAAGGCUACGAUCAGUAGCUGGUCUGAGAGGAUGACCAGCCACAUUGGGACUGAGACACGGCCCAAACUCCUACGGGAGGCAGCAGUGGGGAAUCUUGCGACAAGUGGGACGAAAGCCCUGGACCGCGAGCCAUGCCGCGUGUAUGAUGAAGGUCUUAGGAUUAGUAAAAUACGUUUCAACCGGUGAAGUAUAAGUGGCUGUAGCCGGAAGAAAGAACGCCCCGGACUAACGUCGCGCCAGCCGAGCCGC
RNAcentral lists this ribosomal RNA (464 nucleotides) under uncultured soil bacterium. RNAcentral's name for it is "bacterial SSU rRNA". It matches the Rfam family "Bacterial small subunit ribosomal RNA", at positions 26 to 518 of the family's 1533-position model. The record is from RNAcentral.